Molecule: ribosomal RNA, 440 nt
Filed under: uncultured bacterium
Lineage: Bacteria
Description: partial 16S ribosomal RNA
Rfam family: Bacterial small subunit ribosomal RNA
Source: RNAcentral
CCUACGGGUGGCAGCAGUGGGGAAUAUUGCACAAUGGAGGAGACCCUGAUGCAGCGACGCCGCGUGAGUGAGGAAGUAUUUCGGUAUGUAAAGCUCUAUCAACAGGGAAGUAAAUGACGGUACCUGACUAAGAAGCCCCGGCUAACUACGUGCCAGCAGCCGCGGUAAUACGGAGGGGGCGAGCGUUAUCCGGAUUUACUGGGUGUAAAGGGAGCGUAGGCGGACUUGCAAGUCUGAUGUGAAAAUCCGGGGCCCAACCCCGGAAUUGCAGUGGAAACUGUAUAUCUAGAGUGUCGGAGAGGUAAGUGGAAUUCGUGGUGUAGCGGUGAAAUGCGUAGAUAUCAGGAGGAACACCAGUGGCGAAGGCAGCUUGCUGGACGAUGACUGACGUUGAGGCUCGAAAGUGUGGGGAGCAAACAGGAUUAGAUACCCGAGUAGUC